This 465-nucleotide ribosomal RNA is filed under the name Vreelandella stevensii. Its description in RNAcentral is "partial 16S ribosomal RNA". It matches the Rfam family "Bacterial small subunit ribosomal RNA", at positions 338 to 795 of the family's 1533-position model. Lineage: Bacteria; Pseudomonadati; Pseudomonadota; Gammaproteobacteria; Oceanospirillales; Halomonadaceae. The record is from RNAcentral.
CCUACGGGGGGCUGCAGUGGGGAAUAUUGGACAAUGGGGGCAACCCUGAUCCAGCCAUGCCGCGUGUGUGAAGAAGGCCCUCGGGUUGUAAAGCACUUUCAGUGAGGAAGAACGCCUGGUGGUUAAUACCCAUCAGGAAAGACAUCACUCACAGAAGAAGCACCGGCUAACUCCGUGCCAGCAGCCGCGGUAAUACGGAGGGUGCGAGCGUUAAUCGGAAUUACUGGGCGUAAAGCGCGCGUAGGUGGCUUGAUAAGCCGGUUGUGAAAGCCCCGGGCUCAACCUGGGAACGGCAUCCGGAACUGUCAAGCUAGAGUGCAGGAGAGGAAGGUAGAAUUACCGGUGUAGCGGUGAAAUGCGUAGAGAUCGGGAGGAAUACCAGUGGCGAAGGCGGACUUCUGGACUGACACUGACACUGAGGUGCGAAAGCGUGGGUAGCAAACAGGAUUAGAUACCCUGGUAGUC